UGGACCUGUUAAAGAGGAACAACUGACUGGGACCUGUUAAAGAGGAACAACUGACUGGGACCUGUUAAAGAGGAACAACUGACUGGGACCUGUUAAAGAGGAACAACUGACCUGUUAAAGAGGAACAACUGACUGGGACCUGUUAAAGAGGAACAACUGACCUGUUAAAGAGGAACAACUGACUGGGACCUGUUAAAGAGGAACAACUGACUGGGACCUGUUAAAGAGGAACAACUGACUGAGACCUGUUAAAGAGGAACAACUGACUGGGACCUGUUAAAGAGGAACAACUGACUGGGACCUGUUAAAGAGGAACAACUGACUGGGACCUGUUAAAGAGGAACAACUGACCUGUUAAAGAGGAACAACUGACUGAGACCUGUUAAAGAGGAACAACUGACUGGGACCUGUUAAAGAGGAACAACUGACUGGGACCUGUUAAAGAGGAACAACUGACUGGGACCUGUUAAAGAGGAACAACUGACUGGGACCUGUUAAAGAGGAACAACUGACUGGGACCUGUUAAAGAGGAACAACUGACCUGUUAAAGAGGAACAACUGACUGGGACCUGUUAAAGAGGAACAACUGACUGAGACCUGUUAAAGAGGAACAACUGACUGGGACCUGUUAAAGAGGAACAACUGACUGGGACCUGUUAAAGAGGAACAACUGACUGGGACCUGUUAAAGAGGAACAACUGACCUGUUAAAGAGGAACAACUGACUGGGACCUGUUAAAGAGGAACAACUGACUGGGACCUGUUAAAGAGGAAUAAGGUACAAUAAGAGUUUCCUAUCUCUUCUGCAUGUUAACCAUUUAUAGCCAUAUCAAGAUGUCUGUGGACACCAACUCCAAUCUAAAUGUCUGAUUGACUUUAACACGUGUUUUUUCACUGUGCUGUAUACUGUGGGUUAAUUCCUUUGCUUCUGGCAGAGUUCUGGACGAACACAAUGAUGGAUGCAAAUCUGUACAAUCUGAUGCACUAUGUUUUUUUUUAUAUAAUACAUUUCUUUUUAAAUGGUAGGAUUUGUUUUCAUAGGUAGAUGACACUGGCUGCACAUUAUUUUUCAUACGUCGAUUUGUAUUGUAUACUAUGCGAGUAUGCACUUAUACAGAGAAGAAUGUGUGAGAUUACUGACUGACUGAGUGAGUGGAAUGGAGAAAUGCCCACUGGAAGGUUAGAUGUAAUACAACGAUGUACCACAAGGUGGCGCGGCGUUCAUGUAAUACCACGAUGUACCACAGGGUGGCGCAGCGUUCAUGUAGUACCACGAUGUACCACAGGGUGGCGCGGCGUUCAUGUAAUACCACGAUGUACCACAGGGUGGCGCGGCGUUCAUGUAGUACCACGAUGUACCACAGGGUGGCGCAGCUAUCUUACUUCAUAAUGGCAUGCAGCGCAGUCACUUUAAAAACACGUCACACCACUCGGGAGCAUGGAGCCAAAUUUUAAUAUAAUUGCACAGAAUUAUAACCUUGUUUAUUACUGGUAUUGCUUUGAUAAUUUAUAAAGUGUAGUUUGGUCUUGUUUUUGUGAAGUGUUGCUUUCCAAUCACUUUGGGAUUAGAUGUUUUAUUAACCUGAAUUCUUGUAAGGAAAUAAAAUGUGAUUUUUGAAUAAUGUUUCUUGUGUACUUUUAUCUACACGGUGAAGUGGUUUUGGAAUAAACAAUAUAACAGUUUGUUGUUCGUUCUAGAAACUAUGAAAAGGUUUCUCUCUGUGUCUUACACACACACCACACACACACACACACUACACACACACACACACACACACUACACACACACACACACACACACCACACACACACUACACACACACACACACACUACACUACACUACACUACACACACACACCACACUACACACACACACUACACACACACAAUACACACACACACACACACUACACUACACUACACACACUACACACACACAC
Molecule: long non-coding RNA, 1940 nt
Filed under: Salmo salar (Atlantic salmon)
Lineage: Eukaryota; Metazoa; Chordata; Actinopteri; Salmoniformes; Salmonidae
Description: lncRNA (ENSSSAG00000093715.1)
Source: RNAcentral